RNAcentral lists this ribosomal RNA (1021 nucleotides) under Madracis myriaster. RNAcentral's name for it is "eukaryotic LSU rRNA". The stretch from base 757 to 1021 matches the Rfam family "Eukaryotic large subunit ribosomal RNA", at positions 1 to 261 of the family's 3401-position model. The record is from RNAcentral. Lineage: Eukaryota; Metazoa; Cnidaria; Anthozoa; Scleractinia; Pocilloporidae.
ACUACCGAUUGAAUGGUUUAGUGAGGCCUUCUGACUGGCGCCGACACUCUGGCGACAGAGAGUCGAAUGCCGGAAAGUUGGUCAAACUUGAUCAUUUAGAGGAAGUAAAAGUCGUAACAAGGUUUCCGUAGGUGAACCUGCGGAAGGAUCAUUACCGAUACGUGUCCAAAUCAAGUCUUCGACUUGUACCGUGUGAACUCGAGCAAACUUUUAGGGGUCGGCAAGUCCGUUAAAUGGCGGUCGGACGCAGGAGCGCUGAGGUUCUGCGGCCGCCCGUCCAGCCCCGCCAGUGUUUUUUUACCAACAUGCUUAACAGAGUCUGAAGGCUGCGCUCGUGCGCGGCGCGGGUUUGCGCCCCGCCGCGCAGAGCGAGACGAAAAAAGAUUGACAACUUUUGACGGUGGAUCUCUUGGCUCACGCAUCGAUGAAGAACGCAGCCAGCUGCGAUAAGUAGUGUGAAUUGCAGAAUUCAGUGAAUCAUCGAAUCUUUGAACGCAAAUGGCGCUCUUGGGUUCUCCCAGGAGCAUGUCUGUCUGAGUGUCGGAUAUCACCCAUCGCACUUGAGUGCGCGGAGUUGAGGCGUCAUGGCCGCCGGCUGUCGCGGGCAGGCCGUGUCCCUCGAAAGGCAGAGAGACCCGCCGUGACUGGGGCUUCUUCCCGGCACAGCAGCGGAGGCUAAAACUCGUUUUGCCCUUCGCGUGCCCGGCGAAGACCUCGGGUCGCACCUGGGUCGCAGGCGAACUCACACAUACAUCUUGACCUCAGAUCAGGCAAGGCUACCCGCUGAAUUUAAGCAUAUUAAUAAGCGGAGGAAAAGAAACUAACAAGGAUUCCCCUAGUAACGGCGAGUGAAGCGGGAAGAGCUCAAAUUUGAAAUCUCCGAUGCUUGCAUCGGCGAGUUGUAGUUGCGAGAAGCACUUUCUAGGCGGAUCGGCACUGCCUAAGUUGCUUGGAACAGCACGUCACAGAGGGUGACAACCCCGUCUGUGGCAGUGGCGGCCGCUGACGAUGUGCUUUCGAA